CAGAAAAUAGUUUAUGAAAAUUUUAAUUUUGGAGAUUAAAGAUGAAAGUUAUUUUUCUUUUCUGAAGUUUUAAAAGAUUAUCUUAU
This 86-nucleotide transfer RNA is filed under the name Idgia oculata. RNAcentral's name for it is "tRNA-Pro". The record is from RNAcentral. Lineage: Eukaryota; Metazoa; Arthropoda; Insecta; Coleoptera; Prionoceridae.